RNAcentral lists this transfer RNA (73 nucleotides) under Ailuropoda melanoleuca (giant panda). It matches the Rfam family "tRNA". Rfam says of the family: Transfer RNA (tRNA) molecules are approximately 80 nucleotides in length. Their secondary structure includes four short double-helical elements and three loops (D, anti-codon, and T loops). The record is from Rfam by way of RNAcentral. Lineage: Eukaryota; Metazoa; Chordata; Mammalia; Carnivora; Ursidae.
ACCUGGCGGGCUCAGUUGGUGGAGUGUGUGACUCUUGACCUUGGGGUUGUGGGUUUGAGUCCCACGUUGGGUG